Molecule: ribosomal RNA, 831 nt
Filed under: uncultured marine microorganism
Description: bacterial SSU rRNA
Rfam family: Bacterial small subunit ribosomal RNA
Source: RNAcentral
AGAGUUUGAUCAUGGCUCAGGAUGAACGCUGGCGGUAUGCCUAACACAUGCAAGUCGAACGAUGUCUUCGGACAUAGUGGCGGACGGGUGAGUAACGCGUGAGAAUCUGCCUCUAGGAUGGGGAUAACGGUUGGAAACGACCGCUAACACCCAAUAUGCCGUAAGGUGAAAAAUUUAUUGCCUGGAGAGGAGCUCGCGUCUGAUUAGCUAGUUGGUGGGGUAAGAGCUCACCAAGGCUUCGAUCAGUAGCUGGUCUGAGAGGAUGAGCAGCCACACUGGGACUGAGACACGGCCCAGACUCCUACGGGAGGCAGCAGUGGGGAAUUUUCCGCAAUGGGCGAAAGCCUGACGGAGCAAUACCGCGUGAGGGAGGAAUGCCUUUGGGUUGUAAACCUCUUUUUUCAGGGAAGAAGAUCUGACGGUACCUGAGGAAUAAGUAUCGGCUAACUCCGUGCCAGCAGCCGCGGUAAUACGGAGGAUGCAAGCGUUAUCCGGAAUCAUUGGGCGUAAAGCGUCCGCAGGUGGUUUCCAAAGUCUGCUGUUAAAGACUGGAGCUCAACUCCGGAACGGCGGUGGAAACUUGGAAACUAGAGUUCGGUAGGGGUAGCAGGAAUUCCCAGUGUAGCGGUGAAAUGCGUAGAUAUUGGGAAGAACAUCGGUGGCGAANGCGUGCUACUGGACCGUAACUGACACUCAGGGACGAAAGCUAGGGGAGCGAAAGGGANUAGAUACCCCUGUAGUCCUAGCUGUAAACGAUGGAAACUAGGUGUGGCUUGUAUCGACCCGAGCCGUGCCGUAGCUNACGCGUUAAGUUUCCCGCCUGGGGAGUAC